UACGAAGGGGGCUAGCGUUGUUCGGAAUCACUGGGCGUAAAGCGCACGUAGGCGGAUUUUUAAGUCAGGGGUGAAAUCCCGAGGCUCAACCUCGGAACUGCCUUUGAUACUGGGGAUCUGGAGUCCGGGAGAGGUGAGCGGAACUGCGAGUGUAGAGGUGAAAUUCGUAGAUAUUCGCAAGAACACCAGUGGCGAAGGCGGCUCACUGGCCCGGUACUGACGCUGAGGUGCGAAAGCGUGGGGAGCAAACAGG
This 253-nucleotide ribosomal RNA is filed under the name uncultured bacterium. RNAcentral describes it as "partial 16S ribosomal RNA". It matches the Rfam family "Bacterial small subunit ribosomal RNA", at positions 524 to 776 of the family's 1533-position model. The record is from RNAcentral.